GACGAACGCUGGCGGCGUGCUUAACACAUGCAAGUCGAACGGGGUAACUUUAGCAAUAAAGGUAUCUAGUGGCGGACGGGUGAGUAACGCGUGAGGAACCUGCCUUCAAGAGGGGGAUAACAUCGAGAAAUCGAUGCUAAUACCGCAUAAGACCACGCUCCCGCAUGGGAGAGGGGUCAAAGCCUCGGCGCUUGAAGAUGGCCUCGCGUCCCAUUAGCUAGUAGGCGGGGUAAAGGCCCACCUAGGCAACGAUGGGUAGCCGAGCUGAGAGGCUGAACGGCCACACUGGGACUGAGACACGGCCCAGACUCCUACGGGAGGCAGCAGUGGGGAAUAUUGGGCAAUGGGCGCAAGCCUGACCCAGCAACGCCGCGUGAAGGAUGAAGGUUUUCGGAUUGUAAACUUCUGUCCUCAAGGACGAAAAAAAUGACGGUACUUGGGGAGGAAGCCCCGGCUAACUACGUGCCAGCCGCCGCCGUAACAC
This 484-nucleotide ribosomal RNA is filed under the name uncultured bacterium. Its description in RNAcentral is "bacterial SSU rRNA". It matches the Rfam family "Bacterial small subunit ribosomal RNA", at positions 28 to 526 of the family's 1533-position model. The record is from RNAcentral.